AUCGCAACGUAUUUCAUGCAACCCUUGUCGGAAUUGUUGCGGCUUGCACAAUGGCUUUCUAUUUGCCAGGAGUCGCUC
RNAcentral lists this transfer RNA (78 nucleotides) under Pelagomonas calceolata. Lineage: Eukaryota; Pelagophyceae; Pelagomonadales; Pelagomonadaceae. The record is from RNAcentral.